Long non-coding RNA from Numida meleagris (helmeted guineafowl), 2195 nucleotides. RefSeq lists it as uncharacterized. Lineage: Eukaryota; Metazoa; Chordata; Aves; Galliformes; Numididae. The record is from RefSeq and is a predicted model, not a curated record. The transcript has 4 exons.
AAAGCUGAUCUGCCUGGAGAUGAGGAGCGGAUAGGAACCAAGAUACCAGGAUGCAGAGAGAGAGUGAUAGAAGAAGGAAAUGGGAGAACUACAGUGAUAAAGACAGUAAACUGCAUAUGAAAAAGGAGGUGAAGAAAUUCUGAGCCAGCAAGAAGAUAAAAAGAAGAAUAGAUGCUGAAAUGUUGGCAUCUGUGAGGAAGACUGAAGGAUACGCUCAAACUAGCUUCCCACAACGAUCAUCUCAUGUGCACCUACGCCUUCCCCAGGGGCAGAGUCCCUCGGCUGCAGUGCAGACCAGACAUCAGUUUGUGUCCACCCUCAGUUCAUUUAUCACCAUGGAACAACAGCAGCAGCAGCAGACAAGGGGAAAAAAAAUGUCCACUGUAAAGAGGUGCUACCACAGGACUGCUCAGAUACAGGGUCAGCCUUACACAGGGAAGAAACAAAGGAGUUAACUGGAGAGCAAAAUGCUUUGGCAGACAAUUUUCAGUUUCCUGUAAAGAAACAGUCCUACAGCUGACUACAGGAACCAACACUUCUCCUGAAGACAGCAAAUAGCAUCUCAGAGCCCACCCGGAGCAAUGCCAGGAGGUACACUUCCUCUAGCACAAAUACAGUAAGCAUGCUGACUGUGUACUGGAGGAUCUGUGUGAAACACUCUAAAGAAUGUAACUAAAUGGGGUGACAAGCAAGUAUCAGUCUGAGAAUUUUAGGUUCAUCUUGAGAAAUCACCUCUCCUAAUCAGCAAAAUAUUUACGGUUAUCCAUGCUCACUUCCCAGAUCAACUUGUCUUGCUGGAAUUAAAUGACAUUGCUACAGCUAUCUUUUAUAUUAUUUCAGUGUCUUCACAUGCUGGGGGCAGACAGAGACACUGAAGAUAAUUAGCAAUGGAAACCUUCAGCGUGAAUGAAGAUGAUUGUUACUCAGAGCCAAACAGCAGCUCAGUAUGUCCUUGAACAAUGUUAUCAACAUGGCAGUUUUCAAGAAUGGACUGGUCAGAACAGCUGUGCAAGUAUGAGGAAAUUGCUCUCUCCAAAACUGUGAAGAGAAGAAAACUCAGGGACAGGAUGGCAGCAGGGAGUAAAGGUCAAGGGAUGGACCUUCUUAUAUUCUAAACUAGCUUCUCUGUGUAGCUAUAAUGUGUGGCAACAUUCACAUAUACCAUGGCUGCAGUUUAGUUAAGAUGCACAUAACCAAGGGAGGACAGACAAAGUUUGUUUAGCCUUUAUGUCUAUGUAUAAAUGUGCCUCCACAAAGAAAAGGUUAAAUAUUCAGACUGUCUUAGUUACUCAGUAAUCUAAAGUAUAAGAGAAAAGAAAUAUACGUAUAUAUUAUAAAAAGUGAUAUAUCAUGAGAAAAAGUGUGUUUCAAACUAUCCAGGUUCUACUUUAUGGGCACUUACAAAAGUGUAUAUGCCCUCCUACUAGCAACAAAGAAAGUUCACGGCCUUGGUUAUUUCCUCAAACCUACCUCUAUCUCACUUCUUCAGGGCAGCCAUCCAAUGAUGCUGUUCCUCAACUAGUCUUUCUUGCAGAAAUGACCUCCUGCUAGUAAGUUGACUACACCACAGAAACCAAACCUGUCCUAGUAUUUUCUUUUAUGCAAUUAAGAAGCAGUUGCUCUCAUAGAACUCCUCUGCUUAGUAAUAAAACAACAGGAAAAAAAAAAAAACAGGCCUCAUUUAAACAGAUCGAGGACAAAAAUCUAGCUCAUUCCAGCCUGGCCUUCAUUUGAGGGAGGCUAGUGAACACUUGCUAAUGAAAGUCCUCUUACCCUUUUUGGUAUCGGAAAAUGCAUUGCAAUAGGAAAAAUGUCAGCUAAAGCAAUGUUACAUAUGCUUUUGCUCUUACUUUAGGAAAGAAAAAUCACGUUUAAAACUGUUUCUGCUUGUCAGAAUUAGCACAUGAACUGCCUGAAGAGAAACGUGAAUAAAAAUACUGUUCCCCUUUUCUGUUCCCACUUGAAACUUUACUGAAACAUGGUUUAUAUAUACAUAUAUAUGUGCUCUUUCUCACAAUAGGGAAGGGCCUAAAAUGCCUUCUGUUUAAAUAUUUAGAUAAUAGUAUAUUAUUGAUUCUGUACUUAGUAUUUGCUUGACUCUAGUAAGGUUGCUAUUGAAACAAACCAGCUUAAUAUCUUUUAUGUUGUACUGACAAUGUGAAAGAACUAUGUUUACAUAAAUAAUCUUUGAACCA